CUGAUAAUGCAGCACGGUCUGGGGGCAGUUCCUGGUGGCUGACGUCUGAGGAAAUAGCCGGCAACACCCAACUGCAGAUGGCUCCUGAUAACUGGCCAUCUCUUUUCCGAGUGGCCAGAAGUGUUAUUUCGGGAGCACGACACAGAGCAGACCAUCUGUUAAGGUUCCGGGGGAAGCCUCAGUUGGUCAUACGUGGCGAAGGCAGCCAAUGAGGCAGAACUCGAGCACGGCCGUGGACGUGCCAGAGGUCGCCGAACCCCCCGUGCUGACCGCAAGGGAAGGGCUCCGAGCUCCAGGGAUCACGGACACUCCGAGGGAAGGGGCUGAGGGCCGCUGGGGUGUCUCCUGGGCCUCUGCCAGGCCUCCGUUGUCCCCAUGUCUUGGAAACUGGGAAACGUGUUGCUUUGCUAUUUUUGGUACCAGAGGACUGUGGCCUUUCCCGAACAAGCGUGUCUCUCGUGUUAACAGUGUGAGAGCAGACGUGCCCUGGGAAGGCUGGUUCAAGGUUAACGGGGCAAGAAUUACAACACGCAGCGAGUAACUUGUAAUUUAAAGCGAAGCCUGCAGAUCUUCUCAAACCUUUAUCCCAAGUGUGAAGUUUUGUUUUCAAUGCUUGAAAGGCCUGAGUUGUCUUCGUAAAAAGAGACUGGGCCUCAGCAGGCCAGACCAGGGGGACGUCUGACCUCGGCCAUCACUGGCCAGGCCCUGAAGGGCUCUGGCAUUCACCUGCUCUCGUCUCCAACACGUCCCUCGCCCCGGAAAGUUCAGCGUGCGCUUCAUAUGUCUUGCAAAGCAACAGCGAUGGGGUCUAAGUAAUUGUCGAGCAGCACAAGAAGAAGGAGGGCGUAACAAAGUUAAGGUGCAUGACUUUCACACUGGACUUCUCAUACUUGCUUGAGAAUCUGGAAAAAGCAGCAGACUUUGAUUUCGGAAAAACACACAAUGUGCAACAUCAAACUGCCCUCCGCAUAAAUGGAGAGGAAAAAUUCUUUUUUUUUUUUUUUUUAGUUUGUUUUUUUAUUUUGAGAGAGACAGAGUGUGAGUGGCAGAGGGGCAGAGAAAGAGGAAGAAUGUCAAGCAGGCUCUGUGCUGUCAGCACAGAGCCCACACGGGACUCGAACUCACGAAAUCGUGAGACCAUGAACCAAACCCAGUGGAAAUUGGGAGUCAGAUACCCAAGCCGCUGAGCCACCCCGGGGUCCCCAAGAGGACAGAUUCUUUAAUGGGAAGUAUCAGAGGAGGUAACGACACAAAGGGAAAGCAGCAAGACCUUUUUGUUUCACUCAUUAAAACGUUGACUCUUGUUUCACACCCACUAAGUGCUGGAGCGUUCUGGGCACUUUGGGAAUGCAAAGCAAAUAUAAGGCAUCCCUUUUGCCAUCCAGAAGUUCAGUGCAGUGAAGGUAGACACGCCUGCAAAUCAUUCUCUUUUGUUUUUUAAUUUCAAAAUCAUCAUAAACUUAUAGGAAAGUUGCAGGUGCAAGAUGAAGACAUUUUUCUUCCAUCGCUUAAUGCGAAGUUGCCGAUCUGUCGUCCCAACUCUGAUAACCAUGUCUCGUAUUUUCUGUAUUCUGAUGCUCUGACAGCUGGGGUCUUGCUGCCCCUGGAGGGGCCGCCCCUAGCAGGGUAGCCCGUUCCUAAAGAUAACGAAAACCCCCAUCGAGCAUGCUUUUCAAUGCAAACCAACCAAGCCAGAGUCCGCACCCAUGAUCUUCACCAAACACCUGAUCACCCCAAAGCAGGUACCAGACAAGAAGGACAGCUUCUCUGCCCGAGAGCCUACUGAUAGUUCAAAACAGCCAAUCCCACGCCCGCUCGCCCUGCCUCGCCUGUUCUUCCCAUGGAAGCAAGAGUAAAAGCUCUGGUCUACAUUUUCCCUUCACUCCCUCUGCUUCCUUACAGACACUGCUUCCCCUUGUGGGCCUGUGUGGGGUGCCACGGCUCCCGGAGACUAUAACCAACUAGAUAGAUCUUCAAUGGCGGUCUCUCGUUCCCGUACCUAAAUGAUAACAAAACCUGUUAAACCACGGUCAUCUGCGACUACUUCCUCCAAAAUUGACCGUUUCUCCCAGGAGUCCUGUAUCUUUUGAGAGGAUGAUGGUAUUGAGAAGUCAAGCCCCAGGCACUGGAUGUGUUCAUUUCCAUGGGGGUGUUGCCGCUCCCGGCCUUCUUGGGGAGCAGAAGGAGGAAGCAUUGUUGUAGAGGCUGGAAGUCUGAGAUCAAGGUGUCAGCACGGUUGGUUUCUCCCAAGGUCUCUCUCCUUGGCCAAAAGAUGGUCGCCUUCUCCUGUGUCCUCCCAUGGACUUCCCUCUGUGCAUGUCUGUGUCCUGAUCUCCUCUUCUUGAAAAGACACCUGUCACAUCAGAUGAGGGCCCACACCUCUGCCUUCGUUUUCACUUAAAUACGUCUUUGAAGACCCUAUCUCCAAAUACGGUCACACUCUGAGGUACUAAGGUUCCACAUGAAGCCAAAAGGUCCACUUUUUUUUCCUUUUUUUCUUAACAUCUAAACUGGCUUCGAAUGGAGACAGACUUCUCCUUUACUUAUUUCCAUCUUACUUUUUUUACAAACGAGUAUCCGUGAGCGUGCAUUUUACGCUAUGUAACACAAGGGCAUGAUUUGACCGUAGUUUCUUUUUGCCACAAGGGGUUGGCACAAAGCUUCUCUCUGCAUCAGGUUCCGCCGCACCAGCUCGGCGAGGAGGAGUGUGCGGUGCCCGGGCUCAGGCCGCAGAGCUGGGCUGUUUGGGGCAAGACUCACGAUCUUGCUGGCAUGCCCUCUCCUCUGCCGUGAAAUGGAAGAAUUGCCCCCGUCAGGGAGCCUAGUGCCUGGAGAACGCUCAACAGUAAACAACUUCGUGCCGAAUACUUGUGGGAAUCAGAGCGAGAGAGUGUGGCCAAAAGCCCCCGCAACGGUACCCCGCCAGCCCGAGAGAAGAAGCGAGAAAAGGGGCAGUAGAGAAAGAGCGAUCGAUGGCAAGCUUUAUCAUUUCUGGCGAUGGGCCUUGGUGAUAGGGUUAAGGAAUUGGUGCAGAAGAGCGGAAGUCAAAAAUUAGGGGAAAUGCGACCCGUUUUCUUUAGAUAAACCGUAUCUUCAGAUGAAGGCAGAUUACACAGAGCAUCACGCUUUUCCUUUGAUUCCAUUGCGCACCCCGGACGGGCAUCCCGUCUUCAGACCCGGCUCUGCGUCCCCCUAAAUCCCGGGGAGUCGUGCCUCCCUGGCCACCGCAGUAAGAAGCGGUCUUGGGGGACACACUCCCCCAGGGUGGUCGGCGGGCACCUUCCCGUGUGCAUGAAAGUUCACUGAACUCGCCCCCACCCCCCACCCCUGGCCUUGUUCUUCUUCCCUUCCAUCAGCAGCUCAGAGCUGAGCUGUCCACUAAGCUCUCCUCCACGCCGUCCGAAGGCACUCGUCCCCGGGCUCUGAAUUAGACACGGCAGAAAAGAGUCUGAAAGGUCAAACGCAGAGUAGUUCCUCUUUCGGUAUCAAAAUAAAGCAUUCCUUGCAUUUC
Neofelis nebulosa (Clouded leopard) is the source of this 3511-nucleotide long non-coding RNA. RefSeq lists it as uncharacterized. NCBI's taxonomy places the organism in Eukaryota, Metazoa, Chordata, Mammalia, Carnivora, Felidae. The transcript is spliced from 5 exons. The record is from RefSeq and is a predicted model, not a curated record.